RNAcentral lists this ribosomal RNA (711 nucleotides) under uncultured Limnohabitans sp. Its description in RNAcentral is "bacterial SSU rRNA". It matches the Rfam family "Bacterial small subunit ribosomal RNA", at positions 212 to 916 of the family's 1533-position model. Lineage: Bacteria; Pseudomonadati; Pseudomonadota; Betaproteobacteria; Burkholderiales; Comamonadaceae. The record is from RNAcentral.
CUCGCGCGAUUGGAGCGGCCGAUAUCAGAUUAGGUAGUUGGUGGGGUAAAGGCUCACCAAGCCAACGAUCUGUAGCUGGUCUGAGAGGACGACCAGCCACACUGGAACUGAGACACGGUCCAGACUCCUACGGGAGGCAGCAGUGGGGAAUUUUGGACAAUGGACGCAAGUCUGAUCCAGCCAUUCCGCGUGCAGGAUGAAGGCCCUCGGGUUGUAAACUGCUUUUGUACGGAACGAAAAAGUUUGUCUUAAUACGAUGAGCUCAUGACGGUACCGUAAGAAUAAGCACCGGCUAACUACGUGCCAGCAGCCGCGGUAAUACGUAGGGUGCAAGCGUUAAUCGGAAUUACUGGGCGUAAAGCGUGCGCAGGCGGUUAUGUAAGACAGAGGUGAAAUCCCCGGGCUCAACCUGGGAACUGCCUUUGUGACUGCAUAGCUAGAGUACGGUAGAGGGGGAUGGAAUUCCGCGUGUAGCAGUGAAAUGCGUAGAUAUGCGGAGGAACACCGAUGGCGAAGGCAAUCCCCUGGACCUGUACUGACGCUCAUGCACGAAAGCGUGGGGAGCAAACAGGAUUAGAUACCCUGGUAGUCCACGCCCUAAACGAUGUCAACUGGUUGUUGGGUCUUCACUGACUCAGUAACGAAGCUAACGCGUGAAGUUGACCGCCUGGGGAGUACGGCCGCAAGGUUGAAACUCAAAUGAAUUGACGG